RNAcentral lists this ribosomal RNA (435 nucleotides) under Tylos sp. clade B MM-2013. RNAcentral's name for it is "partial 16S large subunit ribosomal RNA". It matches the Rfam family "Archaeal large subunit ribosomal RNA", at positions 2004 to 2661 of the family's 2987-position model. The record is from RNAcentral. Lineage: Eukaryota; Metazoa; Arthropoda; Malacostraca; Isopoda; Tylidae.
AUGGCCGCAGUACCCUAACUGUGCUAAGGUAGCAUAAUAAUUUGCCUUUUAAUUAAAGGCUAGUAUGAAAGAUUUGACGAAAGAAUAUCUAUCUCAGCUUAUUAAAAAAAAAUUAACUUGAGAGUUAAAAGGCUUUCAUAUCCUAAGGGGACGACAAGACCCUAUAAAGCUUUAUUUAUAUAUUUUUAUUUACUUCAAUAAAAAAUACAAAUUUAUAAAUUUUAUUGGGGCGAUAAAUAAACAAACAUUAUUAAUCACAACGUUUUUAACGAAAUUUAUAGAACGUUUAUAAAAACUUAUAACAAGUUACUUUAGGGAUAACAGCAUAAUUUCUUUUAAAAGUUCCUAUCGACAAAGAAGAUUAUGACCUCGAUGUUGAAUUGAGUUACUCCUUUUAAGCAGCCCUAAAAGGUAGAAGUCUGUUCGACCCUUAAA